UUUUUCGGUGCUUCGUAUGAAGCCUAACAAGGAAUCCGGUGUGAAUCCGGAGCAGUCCCGCUGCUGUAUAUGGCGACGAGGGCGGAAAAUGUCACUGGCGGCGCUCGCCGCUGGGAAGACCCGCCUGAGGAUGACCCAUGAGCCAGAAGACUUGCCGGGAGAGA
Molecule: non-coding RNA, 164 nt
Filed under: human gut metagenome
Source: RNAcentral